AGAGUUUGAUCAUGGCUCAGAUUGAACGCUGGCGGCAUGCCUUACACAUGCAAGUCGAACGGCAGCAUGAUCUAGCUUGCUAGAUUGAUGGCGAGUGGCGAACGGGUGAGUAAUACAUCGGAACGUGCCCUGUAGUGGGGGAUAACUAGUCGAAAGAUUAGCUAAUACCGCAUACGACCUGAGGGUGAAAGUGGGGGACCGCAAGGCCUCAUGCUAUAGGAGCGGCCGAUGUCUGAUUAGCUAGUUGGCGAGGUAAAGGCUCACCAAGGCGACGAUCAGUAGCUGGUCUGAGAGGACGAUCAGCCACACUGGGACUGAGACACGGCCCAGACUCCUACGGGAGGCAGCAGUGGGGAAUUUUGGACAAUGGGCGAAAGCAUGAUCCAGCAAUGCCGCGUGUGUGAAGAAGGCCUUCGGGUUGUAAAGCACUUUUGUCCGGAAAGAAAUGGCUCUGGUUAAUACCUGGGGUCGAUGACGGUACCGGAAGAAUAAGGACCGGCUAACUACGUGCCAGCAGCCGCGGUAAUACGUAGGGUCCAAGCGUUAAUCGGAAUUACUGGGCGUAAAGCGUGCGCAGGCGGUUGUGCAAGACCGAUGUGAAAUCCCCGAGCUUAACUUGGGAAUUGCAUUGGUGACUGCACGGCUAGAGUGUGUCAGAGGGGGGUAGAAUUCCACGUGUAGCAGUGAAAUGCGUAGAGAUGUGGAGGAAUACCGAUGGCGAAGGCAGCCCCCUGGGAUAACACUGACGCUCAUGCACGAAAGC
Molecule: ribosomal RNA, 763 nt
Filed under: uncultured bacterium
Lineage: Bacteria
Description: bacterial SSU rRNA
Rfam family: Bacterial small subunit ribosomal RNA
Source: RNAcentral